RNAcentral lists this ribosomal RNA (1408 nucleotides) under Klebsiella pneumoniae. RNAcentral describes it as "bacterial SSU rRNA". It matches the Rfam family "Bacterial small subunit ribosomal RNA". Lineage: Bacteria; Pseudomonadati; Pseudomonadota; Gammaproteobacteria; Enterobacterales; Enterobacteriaceae. The record is from RNAcentral.
GCAGUCGAGCGGUAGCACAGAGAGCUUGCUCUCGGGUGACGAGCGGCGGACGGGUGAGUAAUGUCUGGGAAACUGCCUGAUGGAGGGGGAUAACUACUGGAAACGGUAGCUAAUACCGCAUAACGUCGCAAGACCAAAGUGGGGGACCUUCGGGCCUCAUGCCAUCAGAUGUGCCCAGAUGGGAUUAGCUAGUAGGUGGGGUAACGGCUCACCUAGGCGACGAUCCCUAGCUGGUCUGAGAGGAUGACCAGCCACACUGGAACUGAGACACGGUCCAGACUCCUACGGGAGGCAGCAGUGGGGAAUAUUGCACAAUGGGCGCAAGCCUGAUGCAGCCAUGCCGCGUGUGUGAAGAAGGCCUUCGGGUUGUAAAGCACUUUCAGCGGGGAGGAAGGCGGUAAGGUUAAUAACCUUGGCGAUUGACGUUACCCGCAGAAGAAGCACCGGCUAACUCCGUGCCAGCAGCCGCGGUAAUACGGAGGGUGCAAGCGUUAAUCGGAAUUACUGGGCGUAAAGCGCACGCAGGCGGUCUGUCAAGUCGGAUGUGAAAUCCCCGGGCUCAACCUGGGAACUGCAUUCGAAACUGGCAGGCUAGAGUCUUGUAGAGGGGGGUAGAAUUCCAGGUGUAGCGGUGAAAUGCGUAGAGAUCUGGAGGAAUACCGGUGGCGAAGGCGGCCCCCUGGACAAAGACUGACGCUCAGGUGCGAAAGCGUGGGGAGCAAACAGGAUUAGAUACCCUGGUAGUCCACGCCGUAAACGAUGUCGAUUUGGAGGUUGUGCCCUUGAGGCGUGGCUUCCGGAGCUAACGCGUUAAAUCGACCGCCUGGGGAGUACGGCCGCAAGGUUAAAACUCAAAUGAAUUGACGGGGGCCCGCACAAGCGGUGGAGCAUGUGGUUUAAUUCGAUGCAACGCGAAGAACCUUACCUGGUCUUGACAUCCACAGAACUUUCCAGAGAUGGAUUGGUGCCUUCGGGAACUGUGAGACAGGUGCUGCAUGGCUGUCGUCAGCUCGUGUUGUGAAAUGUUGGGUUAAGUCCCGCAACGAGCGCAACCCUUAUCCUUUGUUGCCAGCGGUUAGGCCGGGAACUCAAAGGAGACUGCCAGUGAUAAACUGGAGGAAGGUGGGGAUGACGUCAAGUCAUCAUGGCCCUUACGACCAGGGCUACACACGUGCUACAAUGGCAUAUACAAAGAGAAGCGACCUCGCGAGAGCAAGCGGACCUCAUAAAGUAUGUCGUAGUCCGGAUUGGAGUCUGCAACUCGACUCCAUGAAGUCGGAAUCGCUAGUAAUCGUAGAUCAGAAUGCUACGGUGAAUACGUUCCCGGGCCUUGUACACACCGCCCGUCACACCAUGGGAGUGGGUUGCAAAAGAAGUAGGUAGCUUAACCUUCGGGAGGGCGCUUACC